This 448-nucleotide ribosomal RNA is filed under the name uncultured bacterium. RNAcentral describes it as "partial 16S ribosomal RNA". It matches the Rfam family "Bacterial small subunit ribosomal RNA", at positions 29 to 523 of the family's 1533-position model. The record is from RNAcentral.
AAUGAACGCUGGCGGCAGGCCUAACACAUGCAAGUCGAACGGAUCCUUCGGGAUUAGUGGCGGACGGGUGAGUAACGCGUGGGAACAUACCCAAGGUACGGAAUAGCCUCGGGAAACUGGGAGUAAUACCGUAUGUGCUCGAAAGAGGAAAGAUUUAUCGCCUUUGGAUUGGCCCGCGUUGGAUUAGGUAGUUGGUGGGGUAAUGGCCUACCAAGCCGACGAUCCAUAGCUGGUUUGAGAGGAUGAUCAGCCACACUGGGACUGAGACACGGCCCAGACUCCUACGGGAGGCAGCAGUGGGGAAUCUAUGACAAUGGGGGAAACCCUGAUCUAGCCAUGCCGCGUGAUCGAUGAAGGCCUUAGGGUUGUAAAGAUCUUUCAGGUGGGAAGAUAAUGACUGUACCACCAGAAGAAGCCCCGGCUAACUCCGUGCCAGCCGCCGCGGUAA